RNAcentral lists this unclassified non-coding RNA (344 nucleotides) under soil metagenome. RNAcentral's name for it is "partial contains 5.8S ribosomal RNA, internal transcribed spacer 2, and large subunit ribosomal RNA". The stretch from base 1 to 120 matches the Rfam family "5.8S ribosomal RNA", at positions 35 to 154 of the family's 154-position model. The record is from RNAcentral.
GAUGAAGAACGUAGUGAAAUGCGAUAAGUAAUGUGAAUUGCAGAAUUCAGUGAAUCAUCGAAUCUUUGAACGCACAUUGCGCCCAUUAGUAUUCUAGUGGGCAUGCCUGUUCGAGCGUCAUUUCAACCCUUAAGCCCCUGUUGCUUAGCGUUGGGAGCCUACAGCCUGCUGUAGUUCCUCAAAGUUAGUGGCGGAGUCAGUUCACACUCUAGACGUAGUAAAAUCUUUAUCUCGCCUAUAGAUGAGCUGGCGCCUUGCCGUAAAAAACCCCUAAUCUUUUACAAGGUUGACCUCGGAUCAGGUAGGAAUACCCGCUGAACUUAAGCAUAUCAAUAAGCGGAGGA